RNAcentral lists this transfer RNA (75 nucleotides) under Cordylochernes scorpioides. RNAcentral describes it as "tRNA-Thr". It matches the Rfam family "tRNA". Rfam says of the family: Transfer RNA (tRNA) molecules are approximately 80 nucleotides in length. Their secondary structure includes four short double-helical elements and three loops (D, anti-codon, and T loops). Further hydrogen bonds mediate the characteristic L-shaped molecular structure. tRNAs have two regions of fundamental functional importance: the anti-codon, which is responsible for specific mRNA codon recognition, and the 3' end, to which the tRNAs corresponding amino acid is attached (by aminoacyl-tRNA synthetases). tRNAs cope with the degeneracy of the genetic code in two manners: having more than one tRNA (with a specific anti-codon) for a particular amino acid; and 'wobble' base-pairing, i.e. permitting non-standard base-pairing at the 3rd anti-codon position. Lineage: Eukaryota; Metazoa; Arthropoda; Arachnida; Pseudoscorpiones; Chernetidae. The record is from RNAcentral.
GUCCAGGGUGGCCUAGUGGUCAUGGCAUCUGCCCGGUAAGCGGAAGGUCGUGGGUUCGAUACCCAUCCCUUAACA